Long non-coding RNA from Passer domesticus (house sparrow), 444 nucleotides. RefSeq lists it as uncharacterized. The record is from RefSeq and is a predicted model, not a curated record. NCBI's taxonomy places the organism in Eukaryota, Metazoa, Chordata, Aves, Passeriformes, Passeridae. The transcript has 3 exons.
UGGCUUUGCCUUCUUUCCUGCAGCAGGGGCUGGCACCGAAGAUGGAGUGCUUCCUUCAGGAAAUGGCACCUUCCACUGAAGCACUAUGUCCACCUCUUGACAAAAGAAGGGAGACAGCUGCAUCACAUGGAGCUGUUCCCAGUUGGGCGGUGGUAUCAGAGGAAUGGAUCCUACUAAAGCAGGCUCAGCCUGUGCGGUCAGCAGGGACACACUACUCACCCCGGUGAUGGGAGCUGGGCUUGAGUGCAGCAUCCAAGGAAUGGAUCCUACAAAAGCAGGGCUCAGCCUGUGCGAUCAGCAGGGACACAAUAUUCACCCCUGUGAUGGGAGCUGAGCUUGUCAGCAAUAACCACCAAAGGACGUAUGAAAGUCCUCCCUGCAGACACACCUGUAACUCAACAGCCACAGAAGCUUCUGCCAUCUCUGCUGAUCUGUACGGGCACC